Molecule: ribosomal RNA, 1423 nt
Filed under: uncultured organism
Description: 16S ribosomal RNA
Rfam family: Bacterial small subunit ribosomal RNA
Source: RNAcentral
CAGGCUUAACACAUGCAAGUCCAUGGGCAGCAUGGUCUUAGCUUGCUAAGGCCGAUGGCGACCGGCGCACGGGUGAGUAACACGUAUCCAACCUGCCGUCUACUCUUGGACAGCCUUCUGAAAGGAAGAUUAAUACAAGAUGGCAUCAUGAGUCCACAUGUUCACAUGAUUAAAGGUAUUCCGGUAGACGAUGGGGAUGCGUUCCAUUAGAUAGUAGGCGGGGUAACGGCCCACCUAGUCUUCGAUGGAUAGGGGUUCUGAGAGGAAGGUCCCCCACAUUGGAACUGAGACACGGUCCAAACUCCUACGGGAGGCAGCAGUGAGGAAUAUUGGUCAAUGGGCGAGAGCCUGAACCAGCCAAGUAGCGUGAAGGAUGACUGCCCUAUGGGUUGUAAACUUCUUUUAUAAAGGAAUAAAGUCGGGUAUGCAUACCCGUUUGCAUGUACUUUAUGAAUAAGGAUCGGCUAACUCCGUGCCAGCAGCCGCGGUAAUACGGAGGAUCCGAGCGUUAUCCGGAUUUAUUGGGUUUAAAGGGAGCGUAGAUGGAUGUUUAAGUCAGUUGUGAAAGUUUACGGCUCAACCGUAAAAUUGCAGUUGAUACUGGAUAUCUUGAGUGCAGUUGAGGCAGGCGGAAUUCGUGGUGUAGCGGUGAAAUGCUUAGAUAUCACGAAGAACUCCGAUUGCGAAGGCAGCCUGCUAAGCUGCAACUGACAUUGAGGCUCGAAAGUGUGGGUAUCAAACAGGAUUAGAUACCCUGGUAGUCCACACGGUAAACGAUGAAUACUCGCUGUUUGCGAUAUACUGCAAGCGGCCAAGCGAAAGCGUUAAGUAUUCCACCUGGGGAGUACGCCGGCAACGGUGAAACUCAAAGGAAUUGACGGGGGCCCGCACAAGCGGAGGAACAUGUGGUUUAAUUCGAUGAUACGCGAGGAACCUUACCCGGGCUUAAAUUGCAGAUGAAUUACGGUGAAAGCCGUAAGCCGCAAGGCAUCUGUGAAGGUGCUGCAUGGUUGUCGUCAGCUCGUGCCGUGAGGUGUCGGCUUAAGUGCCGUAACGAGCGCAACCCUUGUUGUCAGUUACUAACAGGUUCUGCUGAGGACUCUGACAAGACUGCCAUCGUAAGAUGUGAGGAAGGUGGGGAUGACGUCAAAUCAGCACGGCCCUUACGUCCGGGGCUACACACGUGUUACAAUGGGGGGUACAGAGGGCCGCUACCACGCGAGUGGAUGCCAAUCCCAAAAACCUCUCUCAGUUCGGACUGGAGUCUGCAACCCGACUCCACGAAGCUGGAUUCGCUAGUAAUCGCGCAUCAGCCACGGCGCGGUGAAUACGUUCCCGGGCCUUGCACACACCGCCCGUCAAGCCAUGGGAGCCGGGGGUACCUGAAGUGCGUAACCGCGAGGAGCGCCCUAGGGUAAAACUG